ACAACGGAGAGUUUGAUCCUGGCUCAGGAUGAACGCUGGCGGCGUGCUUAACACAUGCAAGUCGAACGAACCUUCGGGUUAGUGGCGGACGGGUGAGUAACGCGUGAGAAUCUGCCCUCAGGAGGGGGAUAACGGCUGGAAACGGCCGCUAAUACCCCAUAUGCCGCGAGGUGAAAUGAAUUUCGCCUGAGGAUGAGCUCGCGUCUGAUUAGCUAGUUGGUGGGGUAAAGGCCUACCAAGGCAUCGAUCAGUAGCUGGUCUGAGAGGAUGAUCAGCCACACUGGGACUGAGACACGGCCCAGACUCCUACGGGAGGCAGCAGUGGGGAAUUUUCCGCAAUGGGCGAAAGCCUGACGGAGCAACGCCGCGUGAGGGAUGAAGGCCUCUGGGCUGUAAACCUCUUUUAUCAAGGAAGAAGAUCUGACGGUACUUGAUGAAUAAGCCACGGCUAAUUCCGUGCCAGCAGCCGCGGUAAUACGGGAGUGGCAAGCGUUAUCCGGAAUUAUUGGGCGUAAAGCGUCCGCAGGCGGCCCUUCAAGUCUGCUGUUAAAAAGUGGAGCUUAACUCCAUCAUGGCAGUGGAAACUGUUGGGCUUGAGUGUGGUAGGGGCAGAGGGAAUUCCCGGUGUAGCGGUGAAAUGCGUAGAUAUCGGGAAGAACACCAGUGGCGAAGGCGCUCUGCUGGGCCAUCACUGACGCUCAUGGACGAAAGCCAGGGGAGCGAAAGGGAUUAGAUACCCCUGUAGUCCUGGCCGUAAACGAUGAACACUAGGUGUCGGGGGAAUCGACCCCCUCGGUGUCGUAGCCAACGCGUUAAGUGUUCCGCCUGGGGAGUACGCACGCAAGUGUGAAACUCAAAGGAAUUGACGGGGGCCCGCACAAGCGGUGGAGUAUGUGGUUUAAUUCGAUGCAACGCGAAGAACCUUACCAGGGUUUGACAUCCUGCGAAUCUCUUGGAAACUUGAGAGUGCCUUCGGGAGCGCAGUGACAGGUGGUGCAUGGCUGUCGUCAGCUCGUGUCGUGAGAUGUUGGGUUAAGUCCCGCAACGAGCGCAACCCACGUCUUUAGUUGCCAGCAUUUAGUUGGGCACUCUAGAGAGACCGCCGGUGAUAAACCGGAGGAAGGUGUGGAUGACGUCAAGUCAUCAUGCCCCUUACAUCCUGGGCUACACACGUACUACAAUGCUACGGACAAAGGGCAGCAAGUUCGCGAGGACAAGCAAAUCCCAUAAACCGUGGCUCAGUUCAGAUCGUAGGCUGCAACUCGCCUACGUGAAGGAGGAAUCGCUAGUAAUCGCAGGUCAGCAUACUGCGGUGAAUACGUUCCCGGGCCUUGUACACACCGCCCGUCACACCAUGGAAGUUGGCCACGCCCGAAGCCGUUACUCCAACCCUUGUGGAGGAGGACGUCGAAGGUGGGGCUGAUGACUGGGGUGAAGUCGUAACAAGGUAGCCGUACCGGAAGGUGCGGCUGGAUCACCUCCUAA
This 1485-nucleotide ribosomal RNA is filed under the name Roseibacillus sp. Its description in RNAcentral is "bacterial SSU rRNA". It matches the Rfam family "Bacterial small subunit ribosomal RNA". The record is from RNAcentral. Lineage: Bacteria; Pseudomonadati; Verrucomicrobiota; Verrucomicrobiia; Verrucomicrobiales; Verrucomicrobiaceae.